This 760-nucleotide long non-coding RNA is filed under the name Anser cygnoides (Swan goose). Its description in RNAcentral is "lncRNA (ENSACDG00005011295.1)". The record is from RNAcentral. Lineage: Eukaryota; Metazoa; Chordata; Aves; Anseriformes; Anatidae.
GGCAAGGUCUCCAGGAAAUGGGGUGGUGCAAAAGACCCUCCAUGUUGUGCUUUUGUUUCUAAGGCUAUGGUGCCUCUGCUAUCCUUUUGUCUACAUAGACAGAUGAGCUGUUCCAGAUCUACAUAAAAUGGGAGGUGACGUUAUGGGACACGUCUGCUGAGAGCUCCAGUUCAACAGACAACCUCAACAGUCACCUCUCUAUUUAGAAGUCCUGAAGUUGAACUGGCUUAAGUGCAACUACGUAUGGGCUAUACAGGUUUAAAAAAUAAUAAUAAAAAAAGGUUGAGAUGUCUGAAUCAGAUGUCUGAAUCUAGGCAGAUGAGCUUCAGAUGUGUAAGGAUUAUGGGAAGUGGAACCGACAUCUCUUUGCUUUAAUGCUAAUCCUUAUGAUACAGAAGUACCCUGAAAGAAACCAUGAUCUGAUGGCCGAUAUCUGUGAAGACAUGUAACAGUGGAGUAAUUUUUCUGUUGGCUGAGAUGAAAACAAGGUAUUAAGAAAGCUAUUCUUUGUGAUUUUUUAUCUUCUUUUUAUGCUACAUAUUAGAAAGCCUUUUUUUCCUCCUUAGAAUGUGCUUUUGCAAAAUGUUCAUAGAUCUGGAGGUAGCCUUGCAAAAAUUCUAAAGGCCUUGAAAAUGCAUGCAAAAUAUUCAGCAUAUAAAGAGGAAGGAUUUUUUUUUUCCAAAUUAUCAUCAUUGAAAUUACAAUAGAAUUAUCAUGAGCCUUUAUACUGGGGAGUAGGGCUGAGGAUAUUGACCAUUUC